Molecule: ribosomal RNA, 274 nt
Filed under: uncultured bacterium
Lineage: Bacteria
Description: partial 16S ribosomal RNA
Rfam family: Bacterial small subunit ribosomal RNA
Source: RNAcentral
AUACGGAGGGUACGAACGUUAAUCGGAAUUACUGGGCGUAAAGCGCACGUAGGCGGCGCACGCAGUCAGAGGUGAAAGGCCUGGGCUCAACCCAGGAACUGCCUUUGAUACUGGUGUGCUAGAGUCCGGGAGAGGGUAGCGGAAUUCCCAGUGUAGAGGUGAAAUUCGUAGAUAUUGGGAAGAACACCGGUUGCGAAGGCGGCUACCUGGAACGGUACUGACGCUGAGGUGCGAAAGCGUGGGGAGCAAACAGGAUUAGAAACCCCAGUAGUCC